ACGAUGAAGUGAGAAAACAGCAGCUAGUUUAGGAGGUAAUAAAACUCAGGGAAGCGCCCAGAGCCUGCUUAUAUUCCUGCCGGAGAAUCCUGGCGUCCAGUUUGGAGGGUGGGCAGGGUUUGGAU
Non-coding RNA from Pteropus vampyrus (large flying fox), 125 nucleotides. The record is from Rfam. Lineage: Eukaryota; Metazoa; Chordata; Mammalia; Chiroptera; Pteropodidae.